UACGGGGGGAGCAAGCGUUGUUCGGAUUUACUGGGCGUAAAGGGCGCGUAGGCGGCGUGACAAGUCACUUGUGAAAUCUCCGGGCUUAACUCGGAACGGUCAAGUGAUACUGUCGUGCUAGAGUACAGAAGGGGCAACUGGAAUUCUCGGUGUAGCGGUGAAAUGCGUAGAUAUCGAGAGGAACACCUGCGGCGAAGGCGGGUUGCUGGGCUGAUACUGACGCUGAGACGCGAAAGCGUGGGGAGCGAACAGG
RNAcentral lists this ribosomal RNA (253 nucleotides) under uncultured bacterium. RNAcentral's name for it is "partial 16S ribosomal RNA". It matches the Rfam family "Bacterial small subunit ribosomal RNA", at positions 524 to 776 of the family's 1533-position model. The record is from RNAcentral.